GUGGGGAAUAUUGGACAAUGGGCGCAAGCCUGAUCCAGCAAUGCCGCGUGGGUGAAGAAGGCCUUCGGGUUGUAAAGCCCUUUUGUACGGAAAGAAAUCCUGGUGGUUAAUACCCGCCGGGGAUGACGGUACCGUAAGAAUAAGCACCGGCUAACUUCGUGCCAGCAGCCGCGGUAAUACGAAGGGUGCAAGCGUUAAUCGGAAUUACUGGGCGUAAAGCGUGCGUAGGUGGUUUCUUAAGUCUGUCGUGAAAGCCCUGGGCUCAACCUGGGAAUGGCGAUGGAUACUGGGAGGCUAGAGUGCGGUAGAGGAUGGCGGAAUUCCCGGUGUAGCGGUGAAAUGCGUAGAGAUCGGGAGGAACAUCUGUGGCGAAGGCGGCCAUCUGGACCAGCACUGACACUGAGGCACGAAAGCGUGGGGAGCAAACAGGAUUAGAAACCCUUGUAGUCC
Molecule: ribosomal RNA, 450 nt
Filed under: uncultured bacterium
Lineage: Bacteria
Description: partial 16S ribosomal RNA
Rfam family: Bacterial small subunit ribosomal RNA
Source: RNAcentral